Molecule: regulatory RNA element, 107 nt
Organism: Micromonospora aurantiaca ATCC 27029
Lineage: Bacteria; Bacillati; Actinomycetota; Actinomycetes; Micromonosporales; Micromonosporaceae
Rfam family: TPP riboswitch aptamer (THI element)
About the family: Vitamin B(1) in its active form thiamin pyrophosphate (TPP) is an essential coenzyme that is synthesised by coupling of pyrimidine and thiazole moieties in bacteria. The previously detected thiamin-regulatory element, thi box was extended, resulting in a new, highly conserved RNA secondary structure, the THI element, which is widely distributed in eubacteria and also occurs in some archaea. Analysis of operon structures identified a large number of new candidate thiamin-regulated genes, mostly transporters, in various prokaryotic organisms.
Source: Rfam
CACAUCCGACAGGGGAGCGCACAGCGCUGAGAGUGCGGGCCGGUGCCCGCAGACCCUCGAACCUGAUCUGGGUAAUGCCAGCGCAGGGAGUUCGGUCGACCUCCAGC